AAGUCGUAACAAGGUUUCCGUAGGUGAACCUGCGGAAGGAUCAUUAACACGUUUUCCAACGUUUUAUCAACAACUUCGUGAACUGUACCCCCUCACCUCUUCAACUUAAUAUGGUGGAAUAAACUCAGCCUUAUGCCUAUGUGGACAAACAAUCGGAGACAACGAGUAUCGUAACUGAGAAAGUAUUAUCCUUGGGGCAGCUGACACUGAAAGCCGUUGAGCUUUUAUUAAGUUGAUGUAGGCUUUUUUUCGAUCCACAUAUUUUAACCCCUUUAACCGUUCAGUCUCGGCUGACGUACUAUUUGACUAAUGCUUAUCAUGUUUGACUGAUCGUGAUUCAUUUCACUUUCAGACCUUACAUUGAUAUGAGUUAUGUAACUAAGCACAACUCUUAGCAACGGAUAUCUUGGUUCUC
Molecule: unclassified non-coding RNA, 415 nt
Filed under: fungal sp.
Lineage: Eukaryota; Fungi
Description: partial internal transcribed spacer region
Rfam family: Eukaryotic small subunit ribosomal RNA (bases 1-46)
Source: RNAcentral